This 490-nucleotide ribosomal RNA is filed under the name uncultured bacterium. RNAcentral describes it as "partial 16S ribosomal RNA". It matches the Rfam family "Bacterial small subunit ribosomal RNA", at positions 30 to 507 of the family's 1533-position model. The record is from RNAcentral.
AUUGGACGCUGGCGGCAGGCCUAACACAUGCAAGUCGAACGGUAACAGGAAACAGCUUGCUGUUUCGCUGACGAGUGGCGGACGGGUGAGUAAUGUCUGGGAAACUGCCUGAUGGAGGGGGAUAACUACUGGAAACGGUAGCUAAUACCGCAUAACGUCGCAAGACCAAAGAGGGGGACCCUCGGGCCUCUUGCCAUCGGAUGUGCCCAGAUGGGAUUAGCUUGUUGGUGGGGUAACGGCUCACCAAGGCGACGAUCCCUAGCUGGUCUGAGAGGAUGACCAGCCACACUGGAACUGAGACACGGUCCAGACUCCUACGGGAGGCAGCAGUGGGGAAUAUUGCACAAUGGGCGCAAGCCUGAUGCAGCCAUGCCGCGUGUAUGAAGAAGGCCUUCGGGUUGUAAAGUACUUUCAGCGGGGAGGAAGGGAGUAAAGUUAAUACCUUUGCUCAUUGACGUUACCCGCAGAAGAAGCACCGGCUAACUCCGUG